GAGGGUAUAGAUCAGUGGCAGAGUGCAUGCUUAGCAUGCAUGAAAUACUGGGUUCGAUUUCCAAUACCUCA
Molecule: transfer RNA, 71 nt
Filed under: Camelus dromedarius (Arabian camel)
Lineage: Eukaryota; Metazoa; Chordata; Mammalia; Artiodactyla; Camelidae
Also listed under: 1 other name
Rfam family: tRNA
About the family: Transfer RNA (tRNA) molecules are approximately 80 nucleotides in length.
Source: Rfam by way of RNAcentral